This 253-nucleotide ribosomal RNA is filed under the name uncultured prokaryote. RNAcentral describes it as "partial 16S ribosomal RNA". It matches the Rfam family "Bacterial small subunit ribosomal RNA", at positions 525 to 777 of the family's 1533-position model. The record is from RNAcentral.
ACGGGGGGAGCAAGCGUUGUUCGGAUUUACUGGGCGUAAAGGGCUCGUAGGUGGCCAACUAAGUCAGACGUGAAAUCCCCAGGCUUAACCUGGGAACUGCGUCUGAUACUGGAUGGCUUGAAUUCGGGAGAGGGAUGCGGAAUUCCAGGUGUAGCGGUGAAAUGCGUAGAUAUCUGGAGGAACACCGGUGGCGAAGGCGGCAUCCUGGACCAAUAUUGACGCUGAGGAGCGAAAGCCAGGGGAGCAAACGGGA